UGGAAUGUGGUGAUGAAAGGUGCAAGUUCCAGAAUGCAAGUUAGAAUGGAAAAAGCAAGAGAGAGCCACACACAAAUGCUCUGAGAGCAGAUGGAAGGAGCAGUUCACUUCCAGCUGGGGACGCUGGGAAGGCUUCCUGACAGAUGUGAUGUCAGAAUGGGACUUCUAUCAUCUUCCUGCACCUGAUCCAAGAACAGAGGAGGCAAUUCCACUGCUUGGGAGACUUGAAAAUGAACAGAAAUGAAAUUAAAUAAAACCCCUUCCACAUU
Long non-coding RNA from Leopardus geoffroyi (Geoffroy's cat), 269 nucleotides. RefSeq lists it as uncharacterized. Lineage: Eukaryota; Metazoa; Chordata; Mammalia; Carnivora; Felidae. The record is from RefSeq and is a predicted model, not a curated record. The transcript has 2 exons.